This 396-nucleotide ribosomal RNA is filed under the name uncultured bacterium. RNAcentral describes it as "bacterial SSU rRNA". It matches the Rfam family "Bacterial small subunit ribosomal RNA", at positions 29 to 426 of the family's 1533-position model. The record is from RNAcentral.
AUUAAACGCUGGCGGCAUGCCUUACACAUGCAAGUCGAACGGCAGCACGGGGGCAACCCUGGUGGCGAGUGGCGAACGGGUGAGUAAAGCAUCGGAACGUGCCCUGGAGUGGGGGAUAACGUAGCGAAAGUUACGCUAAUACCGCAUAUUCUGUGAGCAGGAAAGCAGGGGAUCGCAAGACCUUGCGCUCUGGGAGCGGCCGAUGUCGGAUUAGCUAGUUGGUGGGGUAAAGGCCUACCAAGGCGACGAUCCGUAGCGGGUCUGAGAGGAUGAUCCGCCACACUGGGACUGAGACACGGCCCAGACUCCUACGGGAGGCAGCAGUGGGGAAUUUUGGACAAUGGGCGAAAGCCUGAUCCAGCCAUGCCGCGUGAGUGAAGAAGGCCUUCGGGUUGG